This is a non-coding RNA of Caenorhabditis elegans, 21 nucleotides long. The record is from Ensembl. Lineage: Eukaryota; Metazoa; Nematoda; Chromadorea; Rhabditida; Rhabditidae.
UUGCAAAAGCAUAGAUAAAAC